RNAcentral lists this ribosomal RNA (486 nucleotides) under uncultured bacterium. RNAcentral describes it as "bacterial SSU rRNA". It matches the Rfam family "Bacterial small subunit ribosomal RNA", at positions 30 to 507 of the family's 1533-position model. The record is from RNAcentral.
AUUGAACGCUGGCGGCAGGCCUAACACAUGCAAGUCGAGCGGUAGAGAGGUGCUUGCAUCUCUUGAGAGCGGCGGACGGGUGAGUAAUGCCUAGGAAUCUGCCUAGUGGUGGGGGAUAACGUUCGGAAACGGACGCUAAUACCGCAUACGUCCUACGGGAGAAAGCGGGGGAUCUUCGGACCUCGCGCCAUUAGAUGAGCCUAGGUCGGAUUAGCUAGUUGGUGAGGUAAUGGCUCACCAAGGCGACGAUCCGUAACUGGUCUGAGAGGAUGAUCAGUCACACUGGAACUGAGACACGGUCCAGACUCCUACGGGAGGCAGCAGUGGGGAAUAUUGGACAAUGGGCGAAAGCCUGAUCCAGCCAUGCCGCGUGUGUGAAGAAGGUCUUCGGAUUGUAAAGCACUUUAAGUUGGGAGGAAGGGUAGGUAACCUAAUACGUUGUCUACUUUGACGUUACCGACAGAAUAAGCACCGGCUAACUUCGUG